Molecule: ribosomal RNA, 621 nt
Filed under: Speonomites crypticola
Lineage: Eukaryota; Metazoa; Arthropoda; Insecta; Coleoptera; Leiodidae
Description: partial 16S ribosomal RNA
Rfam family: Bacterial large subunit ribosomal RNA
Source: RNAcentral
GUCUUAUUGAUUAUAAUUUUAAGUCUAAUCUGCCCAAUGAGUAAUUAAAUGGCUGCAGUAUUUUAACUGUACAAAGGUAGCAUAAUAAUUAGUUUCUUAAUUAGGAACUGGAAUGAAUGAUUGGACGAAAUAGUAACUGUCUUAAUUUAAAUUUUAGAAUUUUAUUUUUAAGUUAAAAAGCUUAAAUUUUUUUAAAAGACGAGAAGACCCUAUAGAAUUUUAUAUUAUUUAAAUAUUUUAUUUGAAGGAAUUAAAUAUAGGAUUUUUUAAUGAAUAUUUAGUUGGGGUGAUUGAAAAAUUUAUUGAACUUUUUUUUGUUAUUAACAUUAAUUUAUGAUUAAUAUGAUCCAAUUUUUUUGAUUAUAAGAUUAAAUUACCUUAGGGAUAACAGCGUAAUUUUUUUAGAGAGCUCUAAUCGAUAGAAGAGAUUGCGACCUCGAUGUUGGAUUAAAGUUUAUUUUUAAUGUAGGAGUUAAAAUAUUAGGUCUGUUCGACCUUUAAAACUUUACAUGAUCUGAGUUUAAACCGGCGUGAGCCAGGUUGGAUUCUAUCUUUAAUAAAAUUAAGUAUUUUAGUACGAAAGGACCAAAUAUUUAUUAUAAUAAUUUUUUUAGAAUAUUA